Molecule: ribosomal RNA, 468 nt
Filed under: uncultured bacterium
Lineage: Bacteria
Description: partial 16S ribosomal RNA
Rfam family: Bacterial small subunit ribosomal RNA
Source: RNAcentral
GACGAACGCUGGCGGCGUGCUUAACACAUGCAAGUCGAACGGAAAGGCCCUGCUUUUGUGGGGUGCUCGAGUGGCGAACGGGUGAGUAACACGUGAGUAACCUGCCCUUGACUUUGGGAUAACUUCAGGAAACUGGGGCUAAGACCGGAUAGGAUCUCCUGCUGCAUGGUGGGGGUUGGAAAGUUUCGGCGGUUGGGGAUGGACUCGCGGCUUAUCAGCUUGUUGGUGGGGUAGUGGCUUACCAAGGCUUUGACGGGUAGCCGGCCUGAGAGGGUGACCGGCCACAUUGGGACUGAGAUACGGCCCAGACUCCUACGGGAGGCAGCAGUGGGGAAUAUUGCACAAUGGGCGGAAGCCUGAUGCAGCAACGCCGCGUGCGGGAUGACGGCCUUCGGGUUGUAAACCGCUUUCGCCUGUGACGAAGCGUGAGUGACGGUAAUGGGUAAAGAAGCACCGGCUAACUACGUG